GCAAGUCGAACGAGAAAGUCACUUCGGUGGCGAGUAGAGUGGCGCACGGGUGAGUAACACGUAGGUGACCUGCCUUUUAGUGGGGGAUAACCAGAAGAAAUUUUGGCUAAUACCGCAUAAGCACAACUAGUUUGGAUACGGUUGUGGAAAGCAUGCCUCUGUAUAUGCAUGUACUGAAAGAUGGGCCUGCGGUGCAUUAGCUUGAUGGUGGGGUAAUGGCCUACCAUGGCUACGAUGUAUAGCCGGAUUGAGAGAUUGAUC
This 261-nucleotide ribosomal RNA is filed under the name uncultured bacterium. Its description in RNAcentral is "partial 16S ribosomal RNA". It matches the Rfam family "Bacterial small subunit ribosomal RNA", at positions 57 to 305 of the family's 1533-position model. The record is from RNAcentral.